Molecule: ribosomal RNA, 206 nt
Filed under: Bacillus subtilis
Lineage: Bacteria; Bacillati; Bacillota; Bacilli; Caryophanales; Bacillaceae
Description: partial 23S ribosomal RNA
Rfam family: Bacterial large subunit ribosomal RNA
Source: RNAcentral
AGUUAGAAAGGGCGCACGGUGGAUGCCUUGGCACUAGGAGCCGAUGAAGGACGGGACGAACACCGAUAUGCUUCGGGGAGCUGUAAGCAAGCUUUGAUCCGGAGAUUUCCGAAUGGGGAAACCCACCACUCGUAAUGGAGUGGUAUCCAUAUCUGAAUUCAUAGGAUAUGAGAAGGCAGACCCGGGGAACUGAAACACUAAGUACC